RNAcentral lists this ribosomal RNA (240 nucleotides) under Triticum aestivum (bread wheat). Its description in RNAcentral is "partial small subunit ribosomal RNA". The record is from RNAcentral. Lineage: Eukaryota; Viridiplantae; Streptophyta; Magnoliopsida; Poales; Poaceae.
AUGGGCGGCGGCAGCGGACAGACCAAUGCACCUUGCGGCGAUAUCUACGUUAGGGAGGGUGUUGUUGCCGUCCACCACGAUAACAACCUGUGUUGUGUCGAUUUUAGAUUCUUUGGUGACGAAUUGGACUACAUCCCUCUGAAGGCCGCUUAUCCUGCUCAUGAGCGAGGCUACUUAAAAGCAAUCCUAGUAUACCAAAGAUCAUGCUUUUCUUUAUGUCAUAGAAGCGAUAUGCUCUAA